This 497-nucleotide ribosomal RNA is filed under the name uncultured bacterium. Its description in RNAcentral is "partial 16S ribosomal RNA". It matches the Rfam family "Bacterial small subunit ribosomal RNA", at positions 28 to 507 of the family's 1533-position model. The record is from RNAcentral.
GAUGAACGCUGGCGGCGUGCCUAAUACACGCAAGUCGAGCGAACAGACGAGGAGCUUGCUCCUCUGACGUUAGCGGCGGACGGGUGAGUAACACGUGGAUAACCUACCUAUAAGACUGGGAUAACUUCGGGAAACCGGAGCUAAUACCGGAUAAUAUAUUGAACCGCAUGGUUCAAUAGCGAAAGACGGUUUUGCUGUCACUUAUAGAUGGAUCCGCGCUGCAUUAGCUAGUUGGUAAGGUAACGGCUUACCAAGGCAACGAUGCGUAGCCGACCUGAGAGGGUGAUCGGCCACACUGGAACUGAGACACGGUCCAGACUCCUACGGGAGGCAGCAGUAGGGAAUCUUCCGCAAUGGGCGAAAGCCUGACGGAGCAACGCCGCGUGAGUGAUGAAGGUCUUCGGAUCGUAAAACUCUGUUAUUAGGGAAGAACAAAUGUGUAAGUAACUAUGCACGUCUUGACGGUACCUAAUCAGAAAGCCACGGCUAACUACGUG